UAAAGUCUUUGGGAAGUUUCUGAUUGGCC
Molecule: non-coding RNA, 29 nt
Filed under: Mus musculus (house mouse)
Lineage: Eukaryota; Metazoa; Chordata; Mammalia; Rodentia; Muridae
Source: RNAcentral